Long non-coding RNA from Paramormyrops kingsleyae, 662 nucleotides. RefSeq lists it as uncharacterized. The record is from RefSeq and is a predicted model, not a curated record. NCBI's taxonomy places the organism in Eukaryota, Metazoa, Chordata, Actinopteri, Osteoglossiformes, Mormyridae.
CCUGUAGGAGGUGGUUCUGAAACGAGCGAUUACGCGUCAUUCAUAUUUCAUCCAUAAGGUCGGAUAUCUGCCUGAGGAUGUCGUGCAUCUCCUCACUGUCAUGCUGAAACCGGUUCUCGGCGCAGUCUUCCAUCUGUGAGUGCACAGAACCAUUGGCGAUCUUCUCUGACAAGCGAUGGAAUCUCACCUCCGAGGCAAAAAGGGUCAUCACCAGACUGCUGCAGACACCUGUCCCACGGCAUUCUGGUUCCACAGGUACAAGCCCAGGGGUCCAUGCAGGGUCUCAUAGGGUCUGCUGAAGGCAUUGAACAGGAAGAACGCUGAGGCCACCGCUGAGAAGACUAUGAGGACAGCGCAGAAGAACAGUACACUGCCGUGAAGGACGAUGGGGAUGGCACCCAUGAGAUCUGGAAAAACUGGCAGGAAACAGAAAACAUGGAGUGAGGAAGAAAAGAUCAGGAGGAGCCCAGUUUGCAGUAGGAAGAAGCCAGCUUCAUAACUACAAAACAGGAUUUUCCAUUAAUAUGAACCACUCAUAAAACUAUUGGAAAAGCGCAGAGGUCUCCCUCCCAAACCGCACUGCUUCAGCCGCUGUCCGUGGAAUAGACCGUAGCUGAUCCGCCCCAUGAACUUCUCCAGUUCGGGUCCGGUCGCGUUGACCA